GGGCGAGUAGCUCAACGGGAGAGCGCCUCCUUUACACGGAGGAGGCCGGGGGUUCGACACCCUCCUCGCCCACCA
RNAcentral lists this transfer RNA (75 nucleotides) under Pseudomonadota bacterium. Its description in RNAcentral is "tRNA-Val". It matches the Rfam family "tRNA". Rfam says of the family: Transfer RNA (tRNA) molecules are approximately 80 nucleotides in length. The record is from RNAcentral. Lineage: Bacteria; Pseudomonadati; Pseudomonadota. RNAcentral also lists the same sequence under 2 other names.